UGCGAGUCACGUAGCAAUACGUGGCAUACGGCUCAGUAACACGUAGUCAACAUGCCCAGGGGACGUGGAUAACCUCGGGAAACUGAGGAUAAACCGCGAUAGGCCAUGAUGUCUGGAAUGACUUAUGGCUCAAAUCUACAUAGGCCCCUGGAUUGGACUGCGGCCGAUCAGGCUGUUGGUGAGGUAAUGGCCCACCAAACCUAAAACCGGUACGGGCUCUGAGAGGAGAAGCCCGGAGAUGGGCACUGAGACAAGGGCCCAGGCCCUAUGGGGCGCAGCAGGCGCGAAAACUCUGCAAUAAGCGAAAGCUUGACAGGGUUAUUCUGAGUGAUUUCCGCUAAGGAAAUCUUUUGGCACCUCUAAAAAUGGUGCAGAAUAAGGGGUGGGCAAGCCUGGUGUCAGCCGCCGCGGUAAUACCAGCACCCCGAGUGGUCGGGACGAUUAUUGGGCCUAAAGCAUCCGUAGCCGGUUCUACAAGUCUUCCGUUAAAUCCAUCUGCUUAACAGAUGGGCUGCGGAGGAUACUAUGGAGCUAGGAGGCGGGAGAGGCAAGCGGUACUUAGUGGGUAGGGGGUAAAAUCCGUUGAUCCACUGAAGACCACCAGUGGCGAAGGCGGCUUGCCAGAACGCGCUCGACGGUGAGGGAUGAAAGCUGGGGGAGCAAAACCGGAUUAGAUACCCGGGUAGUCCCAGCUGUAAACGAUGCAGACUCGGUGAUGAAUAGGCUUCGUGCCUUUUCAGUGCCGCAGGGAAGCCGUUAAGUCUGCCGCCUGGGGAGUACGGUCGCAAGACUGAAACUUAA
This 801-nucleotide ribosomal RNA is filed under the name uncultured crenarchaeote. Its description in RNAcentral is "bacterial SSU rRNA". It matches the Rfam family "Archaeal small subunit ribosomal RNA", at positions 52 to 859 of the family's 1478-position model. Lineage: Archaea; Thermoproteati; Thermoproteota. The record is from RNAcentral.